GGAUGAAUGGCUGAGCGGUUGAAAGCAUCAAUCUUGAAAAUUGACAUAAGGUUAAAACUUAUCGUGGGUUCGAAUCCUACUUCAUCUA
RNAcentral lists this transfer RNA (88 nucleotides) under Gracilaria firma. RNAcentral describes it as "tRNA-Ser". It matches the Rfam family "tRNA". Rfam says of the family: Transfer RNA (tRNA) molecules are approximately 80 nucleotides in length. Their secondary structure includes four short double-helical elements and three loops (D, anti-codon, and T loops). The record is from RNAcentral. Lineage: Eukaryota; Rhodophyta; Florideophyceae; Gracilariales; Gracilariaceae.